This 351-nucleotide ribosomal RNA is filed under the name uncultured bacterium. RNAcentral's name for it is "bacterial SSU rRNA". It matches the Rfam family "Bacterial small subunit ribosomal RNA", at positions 1037 to 1377 of the family's 1533-position model. The record is from RNAcentral.
GGUGGUGCAUGGUUGUCGUCAGCUCGUGUCGUGAGAUGUUGGGUUAAGUCCCGCAACGAGCGCAACCCUUAUCCUCAGUAGCCAGCAGUAAGAUGGGCACUCUGUGGAGACUGCCAGGGAUAACCUGGAGGAAGGUGGGGAUGACGUCAAAUCAUCAUGCCCCUUAUGAUUUGGGCUACACACGUGCUACAAUGGCGUAAACAAAGGGAAGCGAAAGGGUGACCUGGAGCAAAUCUCAGAAAUAACGUCUCAGUUCGGAUUGUAGUCUGCAACUCGACUACAUGAAGCUGGAAUCGCUAGUAAUCGCGAAUCAGCAUGUCGCGGUGAAUACGUUCCCGGUCGACGCGGCCG